UAGGGAAUUUUCGGCAAUGGGCGGAAGCCUGACCGAGCAAUGCCGCGUGAGUGAAGAAGGCCUUCGGGUUGUAAAGCUCUGUUGUAAAGGAAGAACGGUAAAGAUAGGGAAUGAUCUUUAAGUGACGGUACUUUACGAGGAAGUCACGGCUAACUACGUGCCAGCAGCCGCGGUAAUACGUAGGUGGCGAGCGUUAUCCGGAAUUAUUGGGCGUAAAGGGUGCGCAGGCGGUAAUAGAAGCUUAAGGUGAAAGCGUGGGGCUCAACUCCAUAAAGCCUUAGGAACUGGAUUACUAGAGUGCAGGAGAGGGCGAUGGAAUUCCAUGUGUAGCGGUAAAAUGCGUAGAGAUAUGGAGGAACACCAGUGGCGAAGGCGGUCGCCUGGCCUGUAACUGACGCUGAGGCACGAAAGCGUGGGGAGCAAAUAGG
RNAcentral lists this ribosomal RNA (428 nucleotides) under uncultured bacterium. Its description in RNAcentral is "bacterial SSU rRNA". It matches the Rfam family "Bacterial small subunit ribosomal RNA", at positions 355 to 776 of the family's 1533-position model. The record is from RNAcentral.